This 64-nucleotide transfer RNA is filed under the name Dipodomys ordii (Ord's kangaroo rat). It matches the Rfam family "tRNA". From Rfam's summary of the family: Transfer RNA (tRNA) molecules are approximately 80 nucleotides in length. The record is from Rfam by way of RNAcentral. Lineage: Eukaryota; Metazoa; Chordata; Mammalia; Rodentia; Heteromyidae.
GGUGGCUCAGUGGUGAAGUGCUUGCCUUGCAUGCAUGAGGCCCUGGGUUCGAUUCUCAGCACCA